CUGAUGAAGUGGGACCUGAAGCAGGAAACAGAAGACAAACAAUGUCCAUGGAGGUGCAGAGUUGUGAUGCCCCUUGUCUCCCAGCCAUCUCUCAGGGCGAUGACCUUAGCGAUCACCCGGUAUGGGCGGCAAGGUGAAGGCAUGCAUUUCAUCAGCCAUAGCACAGACAGACAGACAGACACCAAGAUCUUCUCUGGAGCUCCCUCUGUUGAUCAAAUGCAUCUGAUCUCAUCAAAGCGGACCCUCUGCUCAUUCAAGUCCCAGCAGACACCCUGGCUUCUUUACUAAGCACUAUUUUACAUUCAUGUUUGAAUACCAUUGAUGGGAUAGCAUAUCUUGUAGACUUUGGUUUUGUGUGGUCCAACAUUGCAGCCUCGGGUUGUCCCCCCCCCCCCCCCUCUUUUUUUAAAGUCAUUACAAUUUCAGACAAGUUUUGACAAAGUAAAUCCAAUGAAGGAGAUUAAAGAAAAAAAAUGAGGCAUAGCUUUAAUAUUCGACCAC
Molecule: long non-coding RNA, 501 nt
Organism: Parambassis ranga (Indian glassy fish)
Lineage: Eukaryota; Metazoa; Chordata; Actinopteri; Ambassidae
Source: Ensembl